RNAcentral lists this long non-coding RNA (1251 nucleotides) under Bos indicus x Bos taurus (hybrid cattle). Its description in RNAcentral is "lncRNA (ENSBIXG00005002604.1)". Lineage: Eukaryota; Metazoa; Chordata; Mammalia; Artiodactyla; Bovidae. The record is from RNAcentral.
UGUGAUCGGCUAAGCAGCCUAAGGUGUCCUGUGCAAGAGCUGUUCUCCCGAGGAAAUAAAAACCAGGAGGACACAGACCGAUAUACCUUAUUUCCUGCUAUCUUCAGUUAAAGGUGGAUUGCAGGGGGUCUGCUUAACAUCCUUUGCUCCCUAAAUACCUUUUGGACAUGGGAACUCAAUAAAAGAACUUUCAUUGCAUCCAUUACCCUACUGUGGUGCAUAACAAAUUAGAUUUAAAAGGCUACUUUUUUCCCCCUUACAGCUAUUUCCAACAUUUUCUUUAAAAUUUCAAUUUAGUGUCUAGUGCCAGAAUAUUCUAUAAUAUACUCUAAAACUCUUAUGAUACCAAUAACACCAACUGAACAUUACUUCCAAAGAAUCAGGCUCAUCUUCUUAUAGACAAAUUGUAGUUUUUAAUUAACAUAAGGUAAAAAAAUAAAAUUAAGGUAGAAAAUUAAUUAUGCUUAAGACAUGUUAAAUAUGAGACUAUAUAAAGCAGUAUUGUUCUUGGAUAACUCUUUUUAAACUACAAACCUUCAUUCACUUAUUUGUCCCCAAAUUCCCAUUUUUAAAAAAAAAUUUCACUUGAGGUUGAAAAAUAUCAGUGCCACAUUUCUCAAACCUAUUUUGAGAAAUGGUGAGGUAAAAGUCUCAAUGAUAAUAUUUAAAUAUUAUUAUUCUAUUUUAAAGUUCCAUGUGCAGAGGUGUUAGGGCAUGUCAACAGCACAGAACAUAGAGAGCAGUACAGCUUUGUAAAGAACACAGUAUUUGUGGUACUGUAUAGAGAACACAUUUGCCCAUAGACCGCUUCUCCAAUAUAAAUGUUUAUCUUUACCUUUCUGUUAAUGUGAUGUCAGAUCUCUUCAUUAUUUAAAAAAAAUUUUUGGACUCUGUUUUGAUACGCAGAGAUGGACUACUGUCAUUGCAUCAGAUGUGAUGAUCCCUGAUAAAGCCUCAAAUGAGCUGUAUGCUGAAGAACUAGAAAGAAAUGUAAUAUACUUGCUCUCGAAAGCCAUCGAUGUUUGCAGCACUGGAGACCAACAGCACUGCAAUGAUGAUGUAUUGUUCUGCCAGAAAGAGUGGGAAGAGGGGACAGCAAGGAUGCCUGGGACAGAGAGGAGGCAGCUUACAGUCAAAGACGUGAGAGAAGAAAACCAAGGAACCAGAGGUUUGAAAUAUGAAAGUCUUGAAAUCAGCAAACGACCAAGCAUCCAAAAAGAUGAUGGCCCUGAACUCAACAACUUUCCCUGA